UACGUAGGGUGCGAGCGUUGUCCGGAAUUAUUGGGCGUAAAGAGCUCGUAGGCGGCCUGUCGCGUCGGAUGUGAAAGCCCGGGGCUUAACCCCGGGUCUGCAUUCGAUACGGGCAGGCUAGAGUGUGGUAGGGGAGAUCGGAAUUCCUGGUGUAGCGGUGAAAUGCGCAGAUAUCAGGAGGAACACCAGCGGCGAAGGCGGCGCUCUGGGCCGGUACUGACACUGAGGAGCGAAAGCGUGGGUAGCAAACAGG
This 253-nucleotide ribosomal RNA is filed under the name uncultured bacterium. RNAcentral's name for it is "partial 16S ribosomal RNA". It matches the Rfam family "Bacterial small subunit ribosomal RNA", at positions 524 to 776 of the family's 1533-position model. The record is from RNAcentral.